RNAcentral lists this long non-coding RNA (221 nucleotides) under Nicotiana benthamiana. RNAcentral describes it as "long non-coding RNA (NBEN_LNC037393)". Lineage: Eukaryota; Viridiplantae; Streptophyta; Magnoliopsida; Solanales; Solanaceae. The record is from RNAcentral.
GUCUAUGAAGAGUUGAAAGAGACUCUCCCGGAAUAACCUUGCAGUCCUUACACAAGCCCCUAUCGCUCCUUCGGAUGAGGAUGUAGUCAAUCUGAGUCCUCGCCGCGAACUCUUGAAGGUGACCAAAUGCUCCUCCCUCUUUCGGAAUGUCGAGUUCGCAAUCAGGAGCUCGGAAGCCCUGGCGAAAUCAAGCAGCGAAGUGCCUCCUCCGUUCCUGGNNN